GAAUGCCUCAUCAGUCCAAAUUCAAUUCAGAGGGCCUAGAAGAUUCCUGGAAAACUGCUGGACUUAGGUCUGUGUUGGACAGCUGCAGAAGCUAAAGUCUGAAGUCAGCACAGAGCAGACAUGUUCACAGCAAGAACUGACGACAGGUGGCCCCAGCCCUAGAGAAGAUUAUAAAGUGGGCGAAAACAGCUCUCAACAGACAGGCUCAUUCUGAGAUUCCAGGAGGAAGGAUCGCCAUUUCAAACUGAGCUUGAGGUGGCUUGGAGAAAUGGAAACAGUAUGGACACCAAAUCCCAACAACUCAUCCCCUCCAACCAGCUGCAAAGGACUGAGGACUCUACUUGAAAUCCAGAACAAUCCAGAUCUAACGACACACUACUUACAGACCUCUGGGAUUGGCUCAGUUAUUCUGAAGCAUACUUGAUCAAGAAUCCUUACAAGAUUUCUUAGCAAUCACCAUAUUGCUUAUGAUUUUAUUUCUUUUCCCCAGAGAAAAUCCAAAGAAACUAAUCCACAUACAACUUUUAAUUAAAUCACAGUGUGACAUCUGUAGAAAGUGUGUAUGAAACACAAUAACUCUCCGACACUGUUUCUACAAGACCUCUCCACACACCUGUCCGCACACAGAGUGAUAAAAGCUUGCACUCCUCAGUAGAAUGUGGUCCAUUUCUGCCCCGGGAAAGAGAUACAGGUGGAUACAGGUGACUUGAGAACAUGGCUCCUGUUGCUACCAAGGGAGCUCUAAUUCCUAGCAUGUGCCUAUGCUCUGCCAGGAAACUUUCCUGGCUCUCCUCCAAGUCGCAGCAAACUCUUGAAAUCCACGUGGGUUAUUCCAAAGUCAUAGUAAACUUCUUUUUGGUUCAGAGCCUCAAAGCCAUCAGUGAAACUCCUACAGAAUGAUUAACUGACCGGGUGACUGUGCCUUGGGGUGGAUAAGGAGGGAAAAUGUGAGCCCACGUGCUCUCAGUAUCCUGACAAUUCAGACUGUCCCACAAACCUCAGAAUCUCCCUCAUGGACCACGAUUGGCAGUCACUACCACCAGCUGCAUACCAAAGCCCCCUAGCCGGCUAACCAAGUGGCCUCCACACCAUGUGUGACUAUGCGUUAACCCUGCUCCUCACUAUUAAUAGGCCACAUGGUUGCGGAGUGUGACAUGAACACACCUGUCUCAAGAAAAUGCCAGGGGAAACAAGGCAUGAUUUGAACAAAGAGGUCAUUUGCUUCCUGUCAGGUGUUUCUAAACACAAAAAUUCUCGUCAGGUUGCCCACUGGCCCUAUUGCUUAAGACACCAUGUACUUUAAUUGCACAACACAAAGAAAUCAGGCUUGAACUAAUGUGAAAGUUUACUCCCUGCUGGUUGGCUUUCCUGGUGCCAAAAGGCAGUAUGCAGGAAGCUAGAGAAGAAAAAUCAUCUCAGUUGAGAAUCUUACAGACUGCAGUACCAGUCUGCUAGGCAGGACUGUCCACUGGUGCAGUCAUGGCAUGGCUGUUGCGGGAUAACCAACUGCAUUCUAAUUCAAUGUGAGGCUACUCUAAAGGACGAAAGGACGUUCAUGCCUGGUGCUAUGGGUGCGGGCAAAGGCCCAUGGCUGGGGAGAUCACAGGCUCUAAGAGUAAACCUGCUUCUUCUGUUUCACUAAAUGGACAUGUUGUCAAACUGUUCCCAAAAUGUUUAUUUACACCUAUAGACCAGUGCUGCCCCCAGCCUUGGUCAGAGAAGCUUCAUUUUUACAGCAAAUGGUGAUUAAUGCAGAAACUCAUAACCAAGGUGAUGAGAGUGACUGUUGAAUGCCCAGCUCUAAACAGGAUACUGGGGUCACUCCAAAGUUCAGGGAACAUUGCAGAAGAGACUUAAAGAACUUAAGAGCAGGACAAAAGGGAGGACUCUAAGAUGCUGUCUUGUGGAUAUGACAGAGUCUCCUUAUCCAGGAACUCACAGCAGCUGCAGGUGUCUACAUAGAGCCUGCACAAGCUUGGGCGAAUGAGCGUUCAGACAGUAUGGAAAAAGGACUCAGAGGACCUCAUCCUUCCCCUGAGAACUAGAGGCAGUCAUGGUUGCCUAGAGAAGGAAGGUUAAGUCUUCAGUGGUAUAACUACUGUUGAAUUGUCCAGGAUUGUAGGCCCAUAUUUCUAUAUGGUAUGGCAGCCAGUCUCUCAAGCCAUAGAUGGCACCUGAGGUGGUCAUGUAGCCUUCCAAACAGGCUAUCGCUACCCUAACAAAGGGGCAGGAUGUUGUUCUGCUCCUUUGUAAUUUGGAGGACGCCUGGGAUAGAGAUGCUAAUUCCGGCCUACAUGACAGAGCUGGCAUACAGAGCAGGAAGAUAGAAAGAUGUGACAAAAUGGGCAUAGAAAGGUGUGGUCAAAGGUGUGGGCAUGACUAAAGCCAUUCACCUGGUUACCUGGGAAACAGAAUGUUAAUGAAUUUCCCCCUCAGUUUAUGUUUUGAUAUAUAUGGCUGUUUGGAGAAUAAAUGCAGAGGAAUUUUCAGUAUGUGAACUCAGGAUUUCAUGAGGAUUCACUAAGAAUCUCCCUGCUAAUAAAGCUAUGUGAGUUGUGUCUUUAUUCCCAUGACUCCAUGUGGGUCCAGACAGAUAGUUUAUGUUGGGGAUGGACUUCGACACAGGCUCCAGGGGAGAACUCCACACAAUGUCCACUGGUUAAACCAGGAGGGUUACAAUACAAAAACAAAGCAGACAUGAAGAUGGGAAGGGGUUCGCUGGGAUGAGAGGGUGGUUGGCAGGGGUGGGAGGAAAUAGUAAAAGACAAGGCUGCUUACAACAUCAUACACUUUGGUUGUAGGACACAAAGAAAUCAGUCUUGAACUGAGCAGAAAGUUCUCCUGCUGGCUAGCUUUCCUGGCACUGAAAGAUGCCACGCUGGCUUCUGGCAGAUGAAAGACACCAACGGUCUUACCUAGCACUAGAUUCUACUGAUGAAAUAACAGACCUGCCAAGAAAGAUGCACCCACUGGAACAAUAGUGGCAAGACUGUCUGUGAGAAUAAACAACCAUUCCCUUGCUUGAAUUUGAAUCCUCUCCCACAAGAGGGCUUUCAUCAAUGGUACUGUAAGCAUAGUUAAAACCCAUGGCUGAACUCACAGUAUCUAUGACUACAGGCAUGAAACUUACACAAGAUCAAGCCAGUUAAAAGUUCCAGCAGACAUGGGGGAGGGGCUACCAAGGCCCCACCCCUAGCUAAGGAGCUGAUGGCAGUUGGUGGCUGUUGGGAGAGGUGGGUCACUUUUCUUAUGAGAUAUUGGUAGGUUGUCCAUGCCCCAAUGGAUAUGAAUAUGAGCCUUUAAUUGGAUGUACUGGCUGAAAAAUGUAUUUUUUUCAACAGACAUGAAGUUGAAAGGGAAAUGCGCUUGGUGUGGGCUGGGAGUCCUACAGGAAGUUGGAAGAGGGAAGGGGUGAAUAUGAUCAGGAUACAUUGUAUAUGUGUAUGAAAAUUUCAAUGAAACUUUGAACUAUUAUUUUUAAAAGGGUAGGAAUGAAUGGUAUGAUCAUAAUGCAUGAUAUACAUGCAUGAAACUAUCAGAGAAAUUUUUAAAAACCUUCUCAACAGUUCAUGAGAAAUAGCUUUCUGUCUCCACAAUCAAAAUGAGCCCAAUACUGAUGGCACAAGUCUAGCUUCAGUGGCAUGGAAAGCCAUGGAGUCACCGGUGCCAGAUGGCAACAGCUCUCCCACUGACAGGAAGACCUGGGGAACUAUUUUCAAAAGCCAAAACUUCAGUCUUCUGAUUUAUAAAUGUUCAGAACUAUUUUAAAUGCUUUGUGAACUAACUGAGCAUAUUCUAAAAUAGAUGGGCUGUGGUGUUCAAUCUUUCAGGACCCUGUCUUUUCUAAUAGUCCCACAGUUGGGAAAGGCAACCUCAAGUCACCAUGUCCUGAGAAAGGUGAUCAGAAAGGGUGGGCUGAAACCAAGGUCAAGCAUCACCUAUAGCUGAAUUCUGCCCGGGUCUCCCAUCCACCUUCUUCUCCCCUCUGAAUCAGAAAGUGGCCCCAGCAACAAUCUAACAGUAAUGCUGCAAAAAACUCUCUUCAUUGUACAUAUAGAAUUUCUGCCCCAUACAUUAUAGUUACUACAGGAUCACAUGAUCCCAAUUUCAAGCAGUAAGUCUGAAAAUCAACUUUAGUGCCAGCGCUGGAGUUUAGCCCACAUGCUGCCAAUCAGGUUUUGGGUAUCUUGUCAUAACUGCUAAUAUUCCACAAGUCAUCUGGUUUCAAGACUCCCCAGCUUCCAUCACUCCCACCUAUUUCUUUCUCUGCACCCUUGUAUUUGAUGAGUCGUCAUUUUUAUUGCUUUUUAAGGCCACGCACUUAUCAACUCAUAACCUCAGCGGCACCCCCAUCUUUUAUUUCACACCCACACUCUCGGCAGCCUCUGGACAGGACUGCCCACUGUGAUGGCUCUGCAGUGUCUUUCCCACAUCUGCACCAACCUCUGAAAUAGGGGUUUAAAACUUCCAUAAACUUUGAAACACUGUACUGGAGACUCUCGGGGGCCUCUUACUCAGCUCUAUAACUUGAGUAAAUGAUUUCACAUGAGAUCAGAUUCAGCACCAACAAAUUAAACACGAACCUUAAGGGUAAAGACAGUUGUCAAAUGUGAAAGGUGAAACAAGACAAUCCUUAGGAAUCUCAACAUAAAGACUGUUUUUUUUUUUUUAUAAAACCUUAAAUCUGAGAUUCUCAACCUGUGAGUCAUAACCCCUUUAGUAAACCGCUAUCUCCAAAAAUAUUUACAUUAGGAAAGAUAACAGUAGCAAAAUUACUUUUAUGAAGUAGCAAAAGAAAAUAAUUUAAUAGCGAGGGGUCACCACAACACGAACUAUAUUAAAAGGUCAUAGUAUUAGGAAUGUUGAGAACCACUGCUCUAAAUCAUAUUUGCCUUUUGAAUACUAAUAGUAUAUAAAUUAUAACUCCUUAUUGCAAUUAUUUGCACAAUAGGUUGCAAUAGUGUUUUGUGCAUGAAUUUUCACAAUAGAUUAGAUGAGAAUUCUACAAGAUUCUCAUGCACUGAUUUUAGCUGACAAAGUAAGUGUGCUUACUAGAUUUUUGUUUAACUUUUUUUCAAGUGAAAAAUGAGUGAUUAAAUCAACGCCUUUGAGCUGAAAGUAUAAGAUUGUGUUAUUUUUCUCAGUCAUAUUAUCAUAAAAUAAAUACUUUUGUAAAGGUGUUUUUAUUACUAUAUUUCUUUAAGCGUGUGUGUGUGUUUGUGUGCAUGCACGCAUGUGAGUUUGAUCCACAGAGCUAAAGCUCCAGGUGGUUGUGAGCUGCCCUACACAGGGUCAGGGAGGCUCUGGAAGAACAACAUCAAGUGCUCUUAACCACUGGGGCAUGUCUCCAAUCCCGAACUGAACUCCUUUAAAACUAAAAUACCUCUCAUUGACCCUACAGCAAUACUAAUACAGUCAUCACUGACAAGCUUUCAGCAGAUGGGAAAGUAUAUUUAUAGUCAUCUUCUAAAAUAUGUCCUUCAUUCCUGAAGUGUUCCCUUAUGCUAGUAGUCAGCAGGAAGCUGACUAAACUGGAGAUUCUACUAUGAUUUUAUGGUGUCUGUGAGGAAUGUCUUUUCUGGGGUGAAGGAAGCGAUCAUGCGCUUCUCAAUGCUAACAGACAUAUAGCAGACAUUCAGUGACAUUAUAGACACACAGAACUUUAAAAACAACUUAAUGGGAGUCUACAGGCAAUAAGUUUAUGGCUGAAAUCAAAGGCAACAUCGUUCCAUUUAAUGAUGCAAUCGUAGGAAAGUCAUUUUAGAGACAAAAGACGACUCUUUACACCCUUGGCAGAAAUCCCAGAA
Long non-coding RNA from Alexandromys fortis (reed vole), 5807 nucleotides. RefSeq lists it as uncharacterized. NCBI's taxonomy places the organism in Eukaryota, Metazoa, Chordata, Mammalia, Rodentia, Cricetidae. The transcript has 3 exons. The record is from RefSeq and is a predicted model, not a curated record.